CUAGCCAUGCGAGGUCGAGAGGGUUCGGGCCCUCGGCGAACUGCUCAGUAACACGUGNGANAAUCUAACCUUAGGUGGAGCAUAACCUCGGGAAACUGAGAAUAAUACUCCAUAGAUCUUUGAGGCUGGAAUGCGCUUAGAUUGAAAGCUUCGGCGCCUAAGGAUGAGUCUGCGGACUAUCAGGUAGUAGUCAGGGUAAAGACCUGACUAGCCUACGACGGAUACGGGUUGUGAGAGCAAUAACCCGGAGAUGAUAUCUGAGACACGAUAUCAGGCCCUACGGGGCGCAGCAGGCGCGAAAACUUCACAAUGCGCGAAAGCGCGAUGAGGGGAUCCCAAGUGCUUGCACGUAAGUGUAAGCUGUUUUUCUGUCUAAAAAGCAGAGAGAGUAAGGGCUGGGUAAGACGGGUGCCAGCCGCCGCGGUAAUACCUGCAGCUCAAGUGGUGGCCGCUAUUAUUGGGCCUAAAACGUCCGUAGCCGGCUGAGUAAAUGCCUGGGUAAAUCGUGUGGCUUAACCAUACGAAUUCCGGGUAGACUGCUCAGCUUGGGACCGGAAGAAGUUAGAGGUACUCCUGGGGUAGGGGUGAAAUCCUGUAAUCCUGGGGGGACCACCAGUGGCGAAGGCGUCUAACUAGGACGGGUCUGACGGUGAGGGACGAAGCCCUGGGGCGCAAACCGGAUUAGAUACCCGGGUAGUCCAGGGUGUAAACGCUGCUUGCUUGAUGUUAGCUGGGCUCCGAGCUCGGCUAGUGUCGGAGAGAAGUUGUUAAGCAAGCUGCCUGGGAAGUACGGUCGCAAGACUGAAACUUAAAGGAAUUGGCGGGGGAGC
Molecule: ribosomal RNA, 830 nt
Filed under: uncultured archaeon
Lineage: Archaea
Description: bacterial SSU rRNA
Rfam family: Archaeal small subunit ribosomal RNA
Source: RNAcentral